Aegilops tauschii subsp. strangulata is the source of this 732-nucleotide non-coding RNA. The record is from RefSeq and is a predicted model, not a curated record. Lineage: Eukaryota; Viridiplantae; Streptophyta; Magnoliopsida; Poales; Poaceae.
CGCGAGGAGGGGAUCGUGGUGGGUCGGAGGGAAGGUGGUGCGGAGGCCGGAUCUUCUGCCGUUGGGUGGUCGCCGGAGAGGACAAGGUUGAGAUCUUUUCCCUCCUGAUCCCCUUUUCCUUCCUGCCAUGGCUGCCGGUACCCGUGCGCGCCAGUUUUCCUAGUCCCAGGCAUGGGAGACCAAGGCCACUCAUCCAUGGCGUCGCGAUUCAGGCAUGGCGAUGAAUAUCACAUCACAUGGACGACAUGGGGACGCCACGUGGAUAUGGCGGACGCCACGGGCCAAAAAUAUUGCUCACCUGGACGCCUCGGGCUGGGACCGCGCCACAACAUUAUAUCGCCGCUAUAGUGGCGGUAUACCGACGCCAUAAAAACCUUGGUAGUGGUGGCAUGGCUUGCGGCGGCUGCCAAGGGAGAGGCAGCUCAAUUUGUUUCUUGGGAGAGGAGUGGGUUGGGUGCUAGGUUUCCAAACCAAAGGGCAAGCCGAUAUAGUCAAAAUUCUGACAGGUGUUCUUUUUUUGUGGUUGCUCCACUCAAGAUUGGGAUUCUUAAAGGAAGGGAAAAUAAUACUAGGAGGGGCAGAGGGCGACCAAAGUUGACAUAGGAGUAGGCGGUAAAAAGGGACUUGAGGGAUUUGAAUGUACCUAGAGAUUUGGCUCUUGAUAGGACUGCAUGGAAAUCAGCAAUCCAUGUGCCGGAAUCUUAAUUUACUCGUACUUGUUUUACUCUUUUC